AAGAAGCAAAGAUGUUGAGCGUCUCAAUUGCUUCCCCAGCUACCUUAACUCUCCCUCCAAAACCCAAAUCCUCAAUUCCCAAAACUUCCUUCACCGGCGUUAGAAUCCAGCACUUAUGUCCCCAACGGUUGCCUUCUCAGGCCACCUGCUUUUGGCAACCGUCACCUUCGUCCUCCGUGGUCAUGAUGGCUAAGAGAGAAGAAGAAAUGAAGGAAAUAAGAGCCAAAACCACUGAGGAAAUCAACGAUGAAGUGGUUGAAUUAAAAGGUGAGCUUUUGAUGCUUCGUCUCCAGAAAUCGGUUCGUAAUGAGUUC
Molecule: long non-coding RNA, 314 nt
Filed under: Gossypium barbadense (sea-island cotton)
Lineage: Eukaryota; Viridiplantae; Streptophyta; Magnoliopsida; Malvales; Malvaceae
Description: long non-coding RNA (GBAR_LNC010347)
Source: RNAcentral